UCGAGAAUCUUUCACAAUGGGGGCAACCCUGAUGGAGCGACGCCGCGUGGAGGAUAAGGUCUUCGGAUUGUAAACUCCUGUCAUGCGUGAACAAGGUUGCUUGGUUAAUACCUGGGCAAAUUGAUGGUAACGCAAGAGGAAGAGGCGGCUAACUCUGUGCCAGCAGCCGCGGUAAUACAGAGGUCUCAAGCGUUGUUCGGAAUUACUGGGCGUAAAGGGUGCGUAGGUGGCGUGGUAAGUCAGAGGUGAAAGCCCGGGGCUCAACCUCGGAACUGCAUCCGAUACUGCCAGGCUAGAGUACGGGAGAGGUGACUAGAAUUCUCGGUGUAGCAGUGAAAUGCGUAGAUAUCGGGAGGAAUACCAAAGGCGUAGGCAGGUCACUGGACAGGUACUGACUCGGAGGCACGAAGGCUAGUGGAGCGAACG
This 426-nucleotide ribosomal RNA is filed under the name uncultured bacterium. Its description in RNAcentral is "bacterial SSU rRNA". It matches the Rfam family "Bacterial small subunit ribosomal RNA", at positions 355 to 774 of the family's 1533-position model. The record is from RNAcentral.